GGGAAAAAUGGUUUUAGACAGAGUUUGGCAUCUUUGACCAAGAAGAAAUUUUAGUUUUCAUUAGAAAGAAAGGAAUUGAUUCUUUCUGUGGGUGUUCCAGAGGAGUCCCAGGCAAAAAGAAGAAAAAAGCAGGGAGGAGACCGUAUUGGGCAUUCCUUUCAGGGGUUGGGUGAUCCCUCUGUUACUUGUUGGUGGAACACAGGUAACCAGAGAUCUGGCUCAUCUCUUUGUAAUGUUUAGAAGAGUUCCCUUUAACUUGGAUUUGAAAACCAACAAUCCUCCGGCCACCUUCUUCUUUGCCACUCUCCUUCAUCAUAUACUUCCAUAAACUUGAAAUUGUUUUAGCAAUUAGCCUUUUAAGGGUGGGGCAGGGAGAGCUAAAACUUUAGAAUAUUAUUAUGCUGCUUUUUAAGUUUAUCCCU
This 422-nucleotide long non-coding RNA is filed under the name Bos taurus (domestic cattle). RNAcentral describes it as "long non-coding RNA NONBTAT008080". Lineage: Eukaryota; Metazoa; Chordata; Mammalia; Artiodactyla; Bovidae. The record is from RNAcentral.